Molecule: long non-coding RNA, 1986 nt
Filed under: Homo sapiens (human)
Lineage: Eukaryota; Metazoa; Chordata; Mammalia; Primates; Hominidae
Description: HSALNT0167335
Source: RNAcentral
GCAGACUGCCUGAGCUCAGGAGUUUGUGACCAGCCUGGGCAACAAAGUAAAACCCUGUCUCUACUAAAAACAUAAAAAAUUAGCCAGUCAUGGCGGCGUGCGCCUGUAGUCCCAGCAACUCGGGAAGCUGAGGCAGGAGAAUUGCUUGAACCCGGGAGGCAGAGGUUGCAGUAGGCUGAGAUCCUGCCACCGCACUCCAGCCUGGGCGGGGAAAAAAAAAAAAAAAAAAAAAAGUUUUCUGGCCAGGCGUGGUGGCUCACUCACACUUGUAAUCCCAGAACUUUGGGAGGCCGAGACAGGUGAAUCACAAGGUCAGGAGUUUGAGACCAGCCUGGCCAACAUCGUGAAACCCCGUAUCUAGUAAAAAUACAAAAAUUGGCUGGGCCUAGUGGUGGGCGCCUGUAAUCCCGACUACUCGGGAGGCUGAGGCAGGAGAAUCACUUGAACCUGGGAGGCGGAGGUUGCAGUGAGCCGAGAUCGCACCAUUGCACUCCACCCCAGGCGACAGAGGGAAACUCCGUCUCAAAAAAAAAAAAAAAAAUUUUGUCUAAAUGCUAUGUGGUAUUGGAUCCUGGAACAGGAAAAGGACAUUAGCAGAAAAAACUGGUGAAUAAAGUUUGGUGUCUGAUUAAUAAUAUACCCAUGUUGGUUACUUAGACUUCACCAAUACAGAAAAUGGAUAAGGAGUAUACAGAAACUCUGUUUUAACUCUGCAACUUUUCUGUAAAUCUAAAAUCAUUUAAAAUACAUAAAAUAUUUUAAAUUAACGUAUUCCUUACAUGAAAAUGUGCAAAUUUUAUGUUAUUUAUAUUUUACCACAAUUUUUAAAAAGUUCUUAUGCUGAAAAGUGUCAGAUGUGGAACAGCAAUACAUCAGCAGCUCAAUCACCAGCAUAGUGUCAGUGUAAUCCCAAGUAAGCGAGGCAACACCAAACCAGCCUCUUGUUACACAGCCAUGUGACUAAGGGCAGAAGGUAAAAUAUAGAAAUAAACUAUGAAGAAAAUGAGGCCAGGCGCGGUGGCUCACGCCUAUAAUCCUAGCACUUUGGGAGGCUGAGGAGGGCGGAUCACCUGAGGUCGGGAGUUUGAGACCAGCCUGACCAACAUGGAGAAACCCCGUCUCUAUUAAAAAUAUAAAAUUAUCCGGGCGUGGUGGCACAUGCCUGUCAUCUCAACUACUCGAGAGGCUGAAGCAGGAGAACUGCUUGAGCCUGAGAGGUGGAGGUUGCGGUGAGCCAAGAUUGCGUCACUGCACUCCAGCCUGGGCAACAAGAGCAAGACUCUGUCUCAAAAAAAUAAAUAAAUAAAUAAAAAGACUAUGAAUACUUUGGUGUGGUGGAGAGGGGUAGAGAAUUUUAGAAAAGGAAAAGAGAAACAACAUAGAAGAAAAGAAAAAAGUAUCACAAGUAGGGGUCCAAAUAUCUUAUUUACUGUGCAUAAAAACUAUCCUCAAGAAGGAACUAUCUAAAAAAUGCAUAUACUGGCCAGGCACAGUGGCUCGUGCUUGUAAUCCUAGCAGUAUGGGAGGCCGAGGCAGGCGGACUGCUUGAGCUCAGGACUUUGAGACCAGCCUGGGCAACACGGCGAAACCCCAUCUCUACAAAAAAAAUACAAAAAAGUUAGCUGAUGCGUAGUGGCUUGCACCUGUAGUCCCAGCUACUUGCAGGGCUGAUGCAAGAGGAUAACUUGAGCCUGGGAGGUCAAGGCUGCAGUGAGCCAUGUUUGUGCUAUUGCAUUCCUGGGUGACAAGGUGAGACACUGUCUCAAAACAACAACAACAUAUACUGAUGUAUAAACCAAAAUAAUCACGUAAUGUGUUGGCCAACAUGGGGCAUAAAACUUUUUUGGAGAUGAAAAAUGUAUUUAAGUUGGGACAGGACAGACUUAUUAAGAAGUGCUCCUAUCACAAAGUAGACUCUCAAGAGCUCUUAUUUUUAAAUCACAAUGUAGAAUGCAUUAGUCAGAAGGCAAGUUAUUAACCUUCUGA